AAGGUUUUAAGUUAAAUAAACUAGUAGCCUUCAAAGUUUCCAAUAGGGAUCUUCCCCUAAACCUUA
This 66-nucleotide transfer RNA is filed under the name Alpheus brevicristatus. RNAcentral's name for it is "tRNA-Trp". The record is from RNAcentral. Lineage: Eukaryota; Metazoa; Arthropoda; Malacostraca; Decapoda; Alpheidae.